GAUGAACGCUGGCGGCGUGCCUAAUACAUGCAAGUCGAGCGAACAGACGAGGAGCUUGCUCCUCUGACGUUAGCGGCGGACGGGUGAGUAACACGUGGAUAACCUACCUAUAAGACUGGGAUAACUUCGGGAAACCGGAGCUAAUACCGGAUAAUAUAUUGAACCGCAUGGUUCAAUAGUGAAAGACGGUUUUGCUGUCACUUAUAGAUGGAUCCGCGCCGCAUUAGCUAGUUGGUAAGGUAACGGCUUACCAAGGCAACGAUGCGUAGCCGACCUGAGAGAGUGAUCGGCCACACUGGAACUGAGACACGGUCCAGACUCCUACGGGAGGCAGCAGUAGGGAAUCUUCCGCAAAGGGCGAAAGCCUGACGGAGCAACGCCGAGUGAGUGAUGAAGGUCUUCGGAUCGUAAAGCUCUGUUAUUAGGGAAGAACAACUGUGUAAGUAACUAUGCACGUCUUGACGGUACCUAAUCAGAAAGCAACGGCUAACUACGUG
RNAcentral lists this ribosomal RNA (497 nucleotides) under uncultured bacterium. Its description in RNAcentral is "partial 16S ribosomal RNA". It matches the Rfam family "Bacterial small subunit ribosomal RNA", at positions 28 to 507 of the family's 1533-position model. The record is from RNAcentral.